GUAGGGAAUAUUGCGCAAUGGACGAAAGUCUGACGCAGCGACGCCGCGUGAGUGAUGAAGGCCUUAGGGUCGUAAAGCUCUGUUGAAUGGGAAGAAAAAAAUGACGGUACCAUUCGAGGAAGGACCGGCUAACUUCGUGCCAGCAGCCGCGGUAAUACGAGGGGUCCUAGCGUUGUUCGGAAUCAUUGGGCGUAAAGGGUGUGUAGGUGGCCGUGUAAGUCAGGUGUGAAAGCCCCGGGCUCAACCCGGGAAGUGCACUUGAUACUGCGUGGCUUGAGUACCGAAGAGGGUAGUGGAAUUCCAGGUGUAGUGGUGAAAUACGUAGAUAUCUGGAGGAACAGCGGUGGCGAAGGCGGCUACCUGGUCGAGUACUGACACUGAGACACGAAAGCAUGGGGAUCAAACAGGAUUAGAUACCCGUGUAGUCC
Molecule: ribosomal RNA, 428 nt
Filed under: uncultured bacterium
Lineage: Bacteria
Description: partial 16S ribosomal RNA
Rfam family: Bacterial small subunit ribosomal RNA
Source: RNAcentral